GAGAGUUCACGCCACCUGACAAUUUUGGAUGCCUGAAAAUCAAAAGAAUUACAGAAAACUGAAUAUCAGCUGAUUACCUGAUAUCAUACACAGCCUGAGUUCCUGUGAUACCAAAUAUUCAAAUUACCUGAAGAACUCAGAUACAAAGCUGGUGGUGGCUAACCAUCUUACAAGCAUGGAAUGGCAAGCACAAUGGCAAGUGUUCAUGUUAAAAUCAGCUGAGUGAAGAGGUUAAAGAGAAAACCCUCUAAGGAAAUAUUGUCAACCCAUUUGAUAAGGAAUCAAGGGUCAACACGGUUCAAGUGACAUCCAGGUAAAUUGAUCAGCAACCUUAAUUAUACCUUCAAUCUGAAUGCUCCUUUACAAUAAAGCCUAACAUAUUAUGGGAAUUAAGAUAUGGACAUCGUUGGAAGACCAUAUUCUAGCUAUUACAGGUUCUAGCUGACCAAAAGUUAUAUUGCAAAUAUUCUGGAAGAUGGAAGCAAAGCACAACCAUUACCCUCUAAUGGUCAUCAUCAGUCAGGCUGUGGGAGACAGAUGCAGCUCUGCAGUGUUUCUGUAUUUCUGAUUGAAUCCCAACUGAUACAGUUAUUGGAACCAGAACUCAGUUGCUUCUGCAAUAAAAAGCCGCAGGAAAGAAGGUUCAAGUUAAGUAUUGGCAGAAAUAUCAGCUUUAUCUGUGGUAAUGUGGAAAAUAGAAAGUGUACCCAAGAAAACUCAUUGAUCUGGCUGGGUAAAUAGUAUGUUGACAGUACUAACUGAUUUAUUCUAAACAUAUGUGAUAAAAUAUGAGAAAACAGAGAUAAACUUAUGAAGGAAGUGUUUAGCUGUUUGGCAGAACUUAGGUAUUAAAUGGUCAAGGACAGUUGUUCCACUGAGAUUUAGGCUGUUAAAUGAAGAAAUGGCCUCAGAGUAAUGAUCAAAUUCAGGAACCUUCUAGUAAAACAUCAUCUCAGUUUAAAAGUGGAGUCAAAUGCAGUUUUAACUGUGUAUUGGGACUACAGAUAGACUUAAUGUCAUGCCUUGUAGACAGAAAAACAAAGCUUGUUAACUUGCCCUUUAGACCUUCUCUGCUAGAGGGUGUCUCUGGAUUUUAAGGGUGUUAUACCACAGCACCCUAAGCCUCAGGUCGAGAUAGAGAAUGAACUGUUGUAAAGACAUCUGUGUGUAUGCUUUUGCCUAAUCAUGUAACCAUCAAUAAUAUUCUGAGAAACCCACAAUGUUUUUAAGACAUUUGCAUUGGUAGAAGCACUAACAAAUUGCAUUAAAUAAGAGAGGAUCAGUUCAAAGCAAAAAUAUCAUAGGCUUUCAAAUUUCUAUGGGAAGAAAGCAGGCUGAGACAGUUAAUCACCUACAAACAUGAGCCAUUCUCUGUAGAAAAGGAAGAAAGUCUCAGAGUGCAGAGCCGCCUGGCUGGAGAGUGGAGUUAAGAACCACAGGGAACCACUCCCAGGGAGCACAGCUGGGCCCUAAUCAAGGAACUGGAAUUGUUGCACUGGCUGGAUCAGAACUGCUAUGAACUAGUAAGUACUACUCAUUCCUCAUUCCUCCUUUUUAAAUGGAAACGUUCACUGUAGUUAUCCUGAUACCACACCUACCCCAAGACCAUCUUGCUGCAAGGAAGCCCAAUGUCUACAUGGACAGGCUGAGUGGAAAGACAGAGGUGACACAGAAACCCAGCUGGGCCGGGCUCCCAGCCCACGUGCCAGUGUCUGUUGCACCAAUAUGGAGAACAACCAAGGAAUUCAACUGACAGGGACAACCAAGGACUCCUGAAAACCCUCAUCCCAGUCAGCUCCAGCUGUUUGCAUCACCCCAGCUGAGGUGCCAGCAUCAUGUGGAAGAGAUGACCUAUAUUUGCAGUGCCCUGUCUGAAUUUAUGACCCACCAAAUCAGGAAUACAAUAAAAUGGUUGUUGCUUUAUUCCACCAAGUUUUGGGAUGGA
RNAcentral lists this long non-coding RNA (1945 nucleotides) under Homo sapiens (human). RNAcentral describes it as "HSALNT0328031". The record is from RNAcentral. Lineage: Eukaryota; Metazoa; Chordata; Mammalia; Primates; Hominidae.